GAUACCUUCACAGACCUGCCCAGAGACACAUGGCUUAACUAAUCCUAGAUCCAAUCAAGUUGACCAACCAAGAUUAACACUCACACCUUCUGUUCUCUCUUUAUUCUUGAGGGCCUUGGAUAUAGCAUUAUUUUUGUCUCCAUACCAUGGGUUUAUAGACAUGUACCAUCACACCUGAUUUAUGCAGUGCUGGGAGUUGAAUCCUGGGUCCUAUGCAAAUCCUCUGAGCCACAUCCCCAGCUCAAAAGCAAUAUUGCUUGCUUAUCUAUCUGGCUGCCUGCCUGCCUGCCUGCCUGUCUGUCUGUCUGUUUAUUUUGAGACAAUCUUUCUCUGUAACCCUGGCUGUCCUGGAACUCAUUAUGUAGACCAGGUUGGCCUUGAACUCACAGAGAUGGUCCUGCCUCUGCCUCCGCAUGCAUCAUCACACCCAGCUUAAAAACUUGUUUUUAAGCCGGGCGGUGGUGGCGCACGCCUUUAAUCCCAGCACUUGGGAGGCAGAGCCAGGCGGAUCUCUGUGAGUUCGAGGCCAGCCUGGACUACCAAGUGAGUUCCAGGAAAGGCGCAAAGCUACACAGAGAAACCCUGUCUCGAAAAACCAAAAAAAAAAAAAAAAAAAAAAAACUUGUUUUUAAAAAGUAAUUGUCUUAGCCAGGCCAUGGUGGUACAUGCCUUUAAUCACAGCACUUAGGAGGCAAAGGCAGGUGGAUCUCUGAGUUCAAGGCCAGCCUUGUCUUCAGAGGGAGUUUUGGGACAGCUAGGGCUAUUACAUAGAGAAACCUUGUCUUGAAAAACCAAAAAGAAAGAAAGAAAAAAAGAUUAUCCUAAACAUCAAUUUAGAACAAAUGCUGUCCAACGCAGUGUUCAGUGAAUUUAAACUGUGUUCCAGCCUUGAUCAUAGAGUUAUUUCCUGUGUGUGUCUCACUUAGGUUUAAUUUUUGCAGCAAAUGUGUUUAGUUGAUCUUUUGAGAGGUAGAGGGUUUUCUAGGACCUCGGGAAGCUGGAGACAAGAAUAUGGGGGAUACUUGAUUAUUUAGUACAUUGUCACUUGGUUCCAAAUGACUUUCUUUAUACAAGACUUUUUUCUAAAGAUGGUAGUGAUUGCAAGUAUUCAUUGUAACAGAAACAUACCGACUGUGAGCAUAGAAUGGCAAUGCAAAGCUAAGAACAAAUGGAUGCUACCUUUCUUUCCAUUAAUCUGCAGAGUUCAGUUUGCACAGUGAAGGGGAACCACACACCCACAAGCUGCAUCCAGCCCUUCUUUAUGGUGUUCUCCUUGUUGGUUAGGAGUCUCAUGGGGGAGGGGGUCUUCCUGCUAGUCCUCCCAACCUGUGCAGUUCCACCUCUAAACACGAGAAAGAAGUGAUAAUAAUUGUGGUGGUUGACGUUAGCAUUUGCCGUCCUAAUGUAAUUACGUACUAAAUAUUGUCUUACUUCAUUUGUGCAGAGUUGUGUUCUAGACCUUGUCUUUGCCUUACACUAGCAGUACAGCGAGAACACAGCGGUGCUGUUUUUGAUGUGUGCACAAGCUUCUUGGGAUACUUGUUCACUUCCUCAGGAAUUAGUCUAAAUGCCUAAUGCCCUCAUGAGCCACCCAGUAUCAGUAUCUCUGCAUCCACCACCUGACACGCCUGAUCCCCUCCUCACACUCAGUUUUUCUGUAACAUGAUUUCUUUCCACAGUGUGUAAUUUAGGUUUUCUUUUCUCCUUUAGGAUGUAAGCUCCAUCAGGACAGAGGUUUUUGUCUACUUCCUCCACUGCUGCUAGUGUUUAAGAGUAGAAUGCAGAAGAUAAUGGUGUGAGCUCAGCCUCUCACACUACCAGCGAUGGCCAGAGAACCCAGACGUGGGGGAGAAUCAGAUCUGUGGAGUCUGGGAGGAAGGCCUGCAGAAGCCAACACCUGGAGGACAAGAAAAAUACACCCAACUAUCUUAGCUUCAUCUCCUGCUGCUGUGAUCAAAUACUAAGGACAGAAGAACUUAAGAAGAUGAAGGUUUGCUUUGGCUCACAUCCACACAAUCCAUCAUCGUGGAGAAGUUGAGGCAGCAGGAACUGAUCUCAUUGUAUCCUCAGUGACUGAAGAGGCAGAAAGUGAUGGAUGCUUGUUAGUGCUCAUCUUACUUUCUCUGCUUAUACGUGGCAGGGUCCCCUGCCCGAAGAUGGAAGGGAGGGAAGGAGAAGGGAAUUCUAGAUUCGCUUAAAUUGGUAACAUUAAUCACCACACUAACAAAUGUGAUAUUUUAAUCUGAAUAAAAUCAUCUUUGUGGGGAAAAUAUCAGAUGGAAAUUGGAAGUUAGAAAUAAUUACAACAUUGUGUGAUACACAAA
Long non-coding RNA from Peromyscus californicus insignis, 2324 nucleotides. RefSeq lists it as uncharacterized. The record is from RefSeq and is a predicted model, not a curated record. The transcript has 2 exons. NCBI's taxonomy places the organism in Eukaryota, Metazoa, Chordata, Mammalia, Rodentia, Cricetidae.